AACGUCAUAUCUAAAUGAAGCAUCACAUGAUGUGCUAGAGCCUCCACAUCUCAGAAACUUUUUCGGUGGGAAUAUCGAGACAUUUACUGGAAUUAAGUCCGGCAGGUUAAACUAAAUUUAGGGAGAUGGCUUCUCCGAUCACCAACAAAUUCGGCCGACAUUAUGAAGGACGUGCAGGCCGAAUGUGCCGCGAUGCUAAAUUUAACACAUUGACA
This 215-nucleotide long non-coding RNA is filed under the name Physcomitrium patens. Its description in RNAcentral is "long non-coding RNA (PPAT_LNC010768)". The record is from RNAcentral. Lineage: Eukaryota; Viridiplantae; Streptophyta; Bryopsida; Funariales; Funariaceae.